UUAUCACGGCGCAAUUCCAUUCCUAAAGAAAAACGCCCUAAUUCCUAAAUUCUCAAUUUGGCCCUCUUAAAUAAAAAGUAAAAUGAACAAAACUCUCCAAUGGCGUUCUCUGCAACUGAUUUCUUGAUUUUACGAUUGCAAACUGUUUGAUGGAUUCACCAAGCCAAAACCCUAAUCCUCCAACCUCUAAUCAGCUCGACGUUUCUCACCAAUCCGCUGUUCAUCCCAAUUCUCCAUGUUCCAACCCCACUGCCGCUCGUCACUCCAAUUUGAAUCCCAACAUUGUGCAAAACCAUAGUUCAGAUGCCAAUUCAGUCCAUGAUCACUUCCUUUCUGCGGCGAUACCGAAAGGUAAAAGGCGCGGCCGGUCCCGGAACUUGACGUCGCCCCAAAACCUUGUAAGGCUGUCAACUCUGUCUCUCAAUUGCGGCGUGAGUAAUGCAGGGGCUUCUUUGGUAGGUUCUAGUUCAGGUCAGGUUAAUAGGGCUCAGCUGCAAAACCGAGGCAAUUUAGUGUCGAAGAAACAUGGCUCUAGUUCAAAUUCUGCUACUCCGACCAAGAAAAGUGUGGACGACAUGUCAGAUGAGAUAAUCGUGAUAAAUAAGGAUGCCACAGCUGAGGCCUUGAUUGCGCUUACAUCCGGGUUCCCGGCUGAUUCGCUUACUGACGAGGAAAUAGAUUACGGGGUUGUGUCUGUGGUGGGAGGAAUAGAACAGGUUAACUAUAUAUUGAUUAGGAAUCAUAUAAUUACUAAGUGGCGUGAGAAUGUGUCGAGUUGGAUAACGAAGGAAAUGUUCGUAGACAUUGUCCCAAAGCAUUGCGGGCCACUGUUGGAUAAGGCUUAUGGUUACUUAGUUUCACACGGGUAUAUUAACUUUGGGGUGGCGCCUGAAAUAAAGGAGAGGAUUUUGGUUGACCCAAAACAACCUAGUGUGAUAGUGGUUGGGGCUGGGCUUGCAGGUUUGGCUGCUGCAAGGCAGUUGAUGGCUUUUGGUUUUAAGGUUACUGUUCUAGAGGGUAGGAAGCGUGCUGGAGGGAGAGUGUAUACAAAGAAAUUAGAAGGUAACAAUAAGAUGGCAGCUGUGGAUUUGGGGGGGAGUGUGCUAACAGGCACUCUGGGGAAUCCACUUGGGAUUUUGGCUAGGCAAUUGUCGUUCUCACUUCACAAGGUGAGGGAUAAGUGCCCCCUAUAUAGAGUGGAUGGGACACCUGUCGAUCCUGUUUCGGAUCGGAAAGUAGAGGCUGGUUUCAAUCAGCUUUUAGACAAAUUAAGUAAAAACAGGCAGUUAAUGGGGGAGGUUUCACAGGAUGUGUCUCUUGGGGCUGCUUUGGAGACGUUCAGGGACCCCUUAGAUGAAGAGGAAAUAAACUUAUUUAAUUGGCAUCUCGCAAACUUGGAAUAUGCAAAUGCCAGUCUACUGUCUAGGCUUUCAUUAGCCUUUUGGGAUCAAGAUGAUCCAUAUGAUAUGGGAGGGGACCAUUGCUUUCUGCCAGGUGGAAAUGGAAGACUGGUUCAUGCAUUAUUAGAGAAUGUUACUAUUCAUUAUGAUAAAAUUGUCAAGGCCAUCCGUUAUGGCAGUGAUGGGGUGCAGGUUGUUGUUGGUGGGGGCCAAGUUUACGAGGGUGAUAUGGUUCUUUGCACCGUACCCCUGGGGGUUCUGAAAAGUCGGUCUAUUGAGUUUAUCCCUGAGUUGCCUCAGAGGAAGCUUGACGCAAUAAGGAGGUUGGGAUUUGGCUUGUUAAACAAGGUUGCUUUGCUCUUUCCCCAUGCAUUUUGGGGAACCGAUCUAGAUACAUUUGGCCAUCUCUCUGAUCAUCCUAGCCGACGAGGAGAGUUCUUUCUUUUCUAUAGCUAUGCAACCGUUGCUGGUGGUCCACUUUUGAUAGCUUUAGUAGCAGGAGAAGCUGCUUACCGGUUUGAGAUUGCAGAUCCUACUGAUUCCGUGCAAAGGGUGCUUCGGAUUCUUAGAGACAUAUAUGAGCCACAAGGCAUUGAAGUCCCAGAUCCUAUUCAAACUGUCUGCACAAGAUGGGGAGGUGACCCCUUAAGUUGUGGUUCUUACUCGAAUGUUUCAGUUGGAGCGUCAGGAGAUGACUAUGAUAUUUUAGCAGAAAGUGUGGGGGAUGGGAGACUUUUCUUUGCUGGUGAAGCUACCAAUCGACGCUAUCCAGCAACCAUGCACGGUGCUUUGCUUAGUGGGUUCAGAGAAGCUGCCAAUAUGGCUCACUAUACUAGAGUUAGAGCAUUGAAAGUAAAAGUUGAGAAGAGUCCAUCACAAAAUGCACAUACAUGUGCUUCUAUUCUUGCAGAUUUAUUCAGGCAGCCUGAUGUGGAAUUUGGCAGUUUUGCCGUACUAUUUAGUAGAAAGAAUGCUGAUUCAAUGGCAAUUUUGAGGGUUACAUUUGGUGGACACCGAAAGAAACCAGAUCAGCAGUUCUCUAACAAGUUACUUUUUGAGCAGCUUCACUCUCAUUUCAAUCAGCAGCAGGAGUUUCAUGUUUACACACUGCUACCUAAGCAACAAGCCCUCGAGCUGAGAGAGCUUAGGGGAGGUGACGAGACUAGGCUAAAUUACCUUGAGAAGGUUGGUGUGAAGCUGGUUGGAAGAAAGGGUUUGGGGCCAUCUGCGGAUUCCAUAAUUGCUUCGGUUAAGGCUGAGAGGAGCAGCCGCAGGCGCAGCCGUAACCGCAAUCCUUCUUCAUCUGCAAUGCCAAAGCCGCGAGUAGUUGCCACCAACCAAAGGCAGAUUAGGAAGGCUAAAAUUAUACGCAACAACAACAUAUUUCCCAGUCCAAGCACGAAUAUCGAAAUUAAAGUUGGCAGCUGUGGUACUAAUGCGGAGUCUAGGAUAUUGGUUAAUAGUAAUGGCUCAGAUACUGGGGCAAGAGCAGUUAUGAAUAAUAAGGACCAACCUCCUCCAAAUUCACAUGAUGGUGCUGACUCUAUAUGUGAAAAUAGAUGCCCCAUCCCUCAAAAUUAUGGGCACAAUAAUGGUAUUACAACUUCUUUGGGUCAUUUAAUUGGGUCAGCGGCAUCAUGCAGCGAUAACAGCCUUGCACCUCUGGAUUCAAAUGAUGUGAUGAUACUAGGUGAUGUACAAAGUUCUAGCCCUUCGAACUUUCUUGCCAGCAGCCUGAUUCCUGCUAGUUCAAGUAGCUUGGAGACAGUUUUAAGCGUUACAGACAGCCUGUCUCUACCAACACAUGUGGAUGUUCAUAUGGGUUUACCGGGUGAUACCAGUGGUUCUAACACUCAGAACUUCCCCAGCAAUAACGACUCAAUUGGUUGUCCGUCAUCUGAAAUUGAGGCCACAGCAGUAAGCAGUAAUUGCAGCUUGGCUCCUUCUAGUUCGAUUGUUCACAGCUUUGGCUCUGAAGACAGUGCUGUGGAUAUUUCUGAUAGCAUUAGCUGUAUAUCUACUCAAGACAACAUAUUUGAAGAUAUCUUGAAUGAAUUGCUUCCUCCUUCUAGUGCAAACUCCAGUACAUGGCAAUUCACAGGAAAAUUGUAGGAGAUGAAGUCGGUGUCAAGGACACUUGUUUCUCUGUGUGGCUGAAUGAAGUAAAGACAACGACAAGCUGAUUAUGCAAUUUGUUCCUGUAGAUAUACGGAUGUAGAAGGAUUCAUAUAUAUUCCUGUGGUGUUGAUAUUUGAGGCUCCGCUCUAUACCAUUAAGCUUAGGCUAUGGAUGCUUUAAAUUCGGUGAGAGAUUUCCCGAGGCGCAGCGUCUGGUUCGUGAAGCGUUGCCAGAAGCCCGAUCUCAACGAAUUUACUAAGGUGGCCGCUCGAACGGCCGUCGGCAUCGUCGUCAUGGGUUUCCUUGCUUUCUUCGUCAAGUUGAUUUUCAUUCCUAUCAACAAUAUUAUCGUUGGCGCUGUCUAGUUAAACUUUUUUUUUUGAAUUCUUUUUAGAAAGAUUGUCACUUAGAGCCUAUGUGGGAAAUUUGUAGUUAUGUUGCAUUUAAUUCUUAACAGUUGGUUAUGUUGCAUUUAAUUGAUUUGUCCAUAAUGAAAUAUACAUGAGUGACCGAAAAGCUUU
Salvia miltiorrhiza (redroot sage) is the source of this 4039-nucleotide RNA transcript. It is a transcript of the gene named protein FLOWERING LOCUS D, with no coding region annotated. The transcript is spliced from 6 exons. The record is from RefSeq and is a predicted model, not a curated record. NCBI's taxonomy places the organism in Eukaryota, Viridiplantae, Streptophyta, Magnoliopsida, Lamiales, Lamiaceae.